This 195-nucleotide unclassified non-coding RNA is filed under the name plant metagenome. RNAcentral describes it as "partial contains small subunit ribosomal RNA, internal transcribed spacer 1, and 5.8S ribosomal RNA". The record is from RNAcentral.
UCUCCGUUGGUGAACCAGCGGAGGGAUCGUUACCGAGUUUACAACUCCCAAACCCCUGUGAACAUACCAUUUGUUGCCUCGGCGGUGCCUGCUUCGGCAGCCCGCCAGAGGACCCAAACCCUUGAUUUUAUACAGUAUCUUCUGAGUGAAUGAUUAAAUAAAUCAAAACUUUCAACAACGGAUCUCUUGGUUCUG